CUAAAAACUUAGCUUAAUCUCUUCUAAUGUACAACCCUUAAAACCCGCAACUAAGUAAAACAUUUUCUACAUUUAGUAAAGGCGAUCAAAAAAUGUCUUAAAGCUAUACAAUUAGUACCGCAAGGGAAAAGUGAAAUAGCAAUGAAAAACCUCAAGCACAUAAAAGCAGAGAUUCAAUCUUGUACCUUUUGCAUCAUGGUUUAACUAGUCUAAUCAAGCAAAAUGAUUUUUAAGUCUGACCCCCCGAAACUAGGUGAGCUACUUAAAAACAGCCUUAUGGGCGAACCCGUCUCUGUUGCAAAAGAGUGGGAAGAUUUUUAAGUAGGGGUGAUAAGCCUAUCGAACCUAGAGAUAGCUGGUUAUUCAGGAAAAGGAUUUAAGUCCUACCUUAGGUUUUUCGUAUAUUUAAAUACACCUCUAACCUUAAGAGUCAUUCAAAUAAGGUACAGCCUAUUGAAACAGGAUACAACCUCAUCU
This 477-nucleotide ribosomal RNA is filed under the name Microhyla pineticola (pine narrow-mouth frog). RNAcentral describes it as "partial large subunit ribosomal RNA". The stretch from base 162 to 477 matches the Rfam family "Bacterial large subunit ribosomal RNA", at positions 566 to 1033 of the family's 2925-position model. The record is from RNAcentral. Lineage: Eukaryota; Metazoa; Chordata; Amphibia; Anura; Microhylidae.